Molecule: ribosomal RNA, 253 nt
Filed under: uncultured Desulfovibrio sp.
Lineage: Bacteria; Pseudomonadati; Thermodesulfobacteriota; Desulfovibrionia; Desulfovibrionales; Desulfovibrionaceae
Description: partial 16S ribosomal RNA
Rfam family: Bacterial small subunit ribosomal RNA
Source: RNAcentral
UACGUAGGGAGCAAGCGUUAUCCGGAUUUAUUGGGUGUAAAGGGUGCGUAGACGGGAAGGCAAGUUGGUUGUGAAAUCCCACGGCUCAACCGUGGAACAGCCCUUGAUACUGCGCGACUUGAAUCCGGGAGAGGGUGGCGGAAUUCCAGGUGUAGGAGUGAAAUCCGUAGAUAUCUGGAGGAACAUCAGUGGCGAAGGCGGCCACCUGGACCGGUAUUGACGCUGAGGCGCGAAAGCGUGGGGAGCAAACAGG